GUACCCCGAGGAAAAGAAAUCAACCGAGAUUCCCCCAGUAGCGGCGAGCGAACGGGGAGCAGCCCAGAGCCUGAAUCAGUGUGUGUGUUAGUGGAAGCGUCUGGAAAGGCGCGCGAUACAGGGUGACAGCCCCGUACACAAAAAUGCACAUGCUGUGAGCUCGAUGAGUAGGGCGGGACACGUGGUAUCCUGUCUGAAUAUGGGGGGACCAUCCUCCAAG
This 220-nucleotide ribosomal RNA is filed under the name Escherichia coli. RNAcentral describes it as "partial 23S ribosomal RNA". It matches the Rfam family "Bacterial large subunit ribosomal RNA", at positions 206 to 464 of the family's 2925-position model. The record is from RNAcentral. Lineage: Bacteria; Pseudomonadati; Pseudomonadota; Gammaproteobacteria; Enterobacterales; Enterobacteriaceae.